GACGAACGCUGGCGGCGUGCCUAAUACAUGCAAGUAGAACGCUGAAGAGAGGAGCUUGCUCUUCUUGGAUGAGUUGCGAACGGGUGAGUAACGCGUAGGUAACCUGCCUUGUAGCGGGGGAUAACUAUUGGAAACGAUAGCUAAUACCGCAUAACAAUGGAUGACACAUGUCAUUUAUUUGAAAGGGGCAAUUGCUCCACUACAAGAUGGACCUGCGUUGUAUUAGCUAGUAGGUGAGGUAAUGGCUCACCUAGGCGACGAUACAUAGCCGAACUGGGAGGGUGAUCCGCCAAACUGGGACUGGGAAACGGCCCAGAACCCUAAGGGGGGGAGCAGUAGGGAAUCCUCGGGAAUGGGGGCAAAGCUGACCGGGCAACGCCGGGUGAGUGAAGAAGGUUUUCGGAUCGUAAAGCUCUGUUGUAAGUCAAGAAAGGGUGUGAGAGUGGAAAGUUCACAUUGUGACGGUAGCUUACCAGAAAGGGACGGCUAACUACGUG
Molecule: ribosomal RNA, 497 nt
Filed under: uncultured bacterium
Lineage: Bacteria
Description: partial 16S ribosomal RNA
Rfam family: Bacterial small subunit ribosomal RNA
Source: RNAcentral